RNAcentral lists this long non-coding RNA (1105 nucleotides) under Homo sapiens (human). RNAcentral describes it as "HSALNT0335409". The record is from RNAcentral. Lineage: Eukaryota; Metazoa; Chordata; Mammalia; Primates; Hominidae.
GCUGCGCACUUCGGUCUUUUACGUCGGCCUUCGCGAGCGUCUGGGCGGGUGGUAGGUGAGUGGGUAUUGCGGGCUAGUAUCCGAGCAAAAGAUGGUGGCGCAGGCCGAGUUAAGAGCUUUAAUCCUGUGAAGACAUCUUAGUGAAGAGUUUAGAGUGCUGAGAGUUGAAAGCUUGCACGUGGGAAACGUGCGGCCGGACUGCCACAUGUACUGAGGUUGAGUCGUGACGGCCACAGGCUCCGAGUUUUGGCGUGAGGAACCGCUGAUCGGCCACGGGCGCCGAACUUGCUGGCCUCCGGCAUGUGCCUGAGCGGCGGCGGAAAAACCACCUUAAUUGGGGCGGAGGGUUAGUUUUAACAGCAAAGGGCCUUUACUAAAAUGGCGAAGGCCUUCCGUCGGCGUUGUUUUAAAAUGGGAAGCCUCGACCCUGUAUUGAAACUGAGCUGUUCGAAGGCGGCGUUGUGUGCAAUUCGGAUUAAUGAAGGGGAAGGGUUUUGUGUGGAAAAACGCCUUGGAGUGUGACAUUUCUGCGAGAAUGCUUAAAUACCGAUUUCCCGCAGGAACAAUGGCGCUGUCUUCAGUGGCACAGUGGAGCAGCUCUGAAGAUGCAAAGAUACACGAAAAAACUUCCAGAACAUCUGGGAGAAUAUUUAAUGGAAAAUCGCUUGGUUAAAACCUGACACUUUUAACAGGUAUGUGUUGUUUUAGUACUUUAUGAUUGAGCAUAGCAUUUAAUCCACACCUAGACUAAAUCAAAUUUUUUUUGUCAGUGAACAGCGUUCUGAGUGUGGACGAGUAGCCAGUGAAGAUAAUGAAUGUCGAAUGUGACUGACUAGCAGCUUCAUUUUGAAUGAGGGUCGCUGUCUGCCCAUUGAUAGAGGCCAGAUUGUCUUGGAAGUUCCAAAGUUGCAACGAUUUCUGGCUAGUGCCACGAGGUUUACUUGACUGUUGUGUGAAAAGCUGAUAAGAAAACCAUCCAGAAAAAAGCUCUUCGUUUUACAAACAUGAAAAUAAAACAUGUAAUUUUGGAUUAUGUUCCUUUUUGUUAUUACUUUUAAAUAGGUCCUGAAAUAACAUGGGGAGCAUUAAAUGGAAAAUCCACUAA